This 465-nucleotide ribosomal RNA is filed under the name uncultured bacterium. RNAcentral's name for it is "partial 16S ribosomal RNA". It matches the Rfam family "Bacterial small subunit ribosomal RNA", at positions 28 to 507 of the family's 1533-position model. The record is from RNAcentral.
GACGAACGCUGGCGGCGUGCUUAACACAUGCAAGUCGAACGGAAAGGCCCCUUUGGGGGUACUCGAGUGGCGAACGGGUGAGUAACACGUGAGUAACCUGCCCUUGACUUCGGGAUAACUUCAGGAAACUGGGGCUAAUACCGGAUAGGAAUCCUUGCUGCAUGGGGGGGGUUGGAAAGCUUCGGCGGUUUUGGAUGGACUCGCGGCUUAUCAGCUUGUUGGUGGGGUAGUGGCUUACCAAGGCUUUGACGGGUAGCCGGCCUGAGAGGGCGACCGGCCACAUUGGGACUGAGAUAAGGCCCAGACUCCUACGGGAGGCAGCAGUGGGGAAUAUUGCACAAUGGGCGGAAGCCUGAUGCAGCAACGCCGCGUGCGGGAGGACGGCCUUCGGGUUGUAAACCGCUUUCAGCAGGGGCGAAGCUUGUGGUGACGGUACCUGCAGAAGAAGCACCGGCUAACUACGUG